This is a long non-coding RNA of Drosophila obscura, 737 nucleotides long. RefSeq lists it as uncharacterized. The transcript is spliced from 3 exons. Lineage: Eukaryota; Metazoa; Arthropoda; Insecta; Diptera; Drosophilidae. The record is from RefSeq and is a predicted model, not a curated record.
GCCUUCAAUCAAAAUGUAAACACAUAAAAGGAAUUGUGUGCUCGAUUCAUUUUAAUUGAAUAAAACACUGAAUAAUAAUUUUUUUAUUGCUUCAAAGAGACUGUUAAACCAGUUCAAUUAAGUUCCCGCAUGCCGAGCGAUGGUAACACUCAACUGCCAUUAACCGUCUAAUGUACUCUUCGGGAAGUGAAAGAAAAAUGGAAUAUGGAUUGUAAAGACAAGCAGGCGCAAUGUGGCAAGAAUGCGGAGGCAAGCAGGCAGGCAGGCGGCACUGAUACAGGGACAGGGACCUGCAGGGACAGUCGGAACAGAGGCUCCGCCGAGUCUGUGAGAUGGCAUAUAAAUUUUGCGGUCUGUGGCAAUAAAUCAGCGUUUGGCUGUCACCCCAUUUUGCCAGUGUAAAUCGCAGCCCGACAAAGUCCCAGCACUCAGCUCUUCUUCUGUCCAAAGCUACACCUCCGGCUUCAUCUCCAGCUACAGCUUCAGCUCCAUCUACAUCUUCAGCUAUGGUGUUCCUUUCGAGCUGUCAGCUGUCUUGCGAGUGUCGCCUGAACACAAAUUAAUGUUGACACCGUCGUUGCUUCUGGAGACUGCUCGAGUGCGGCUUCGUUAGGCGUUGAUGCUGAUGAAGAGAAUGUGGAUGAUGAUGAUGAUGAUGGUGACGGUGACGUUGACGGUGAAGCUUGGCCAAGUGGCCGACGCGUUGCACUUCAAAGACGCAUUAAUAAUUAAUAAGA